Molecule: microRNA precursor, 87 nt
Filed under: Larimichthys crocea (large yellow croaker)
Lineage: Eukaryota; Metazoa; Chordata; Actinopteri; Sciaenidae
Also listed under: 1 other name
Description: let-7 microRNA precursor family
Rfam family: let-7 microRNA precursor family
About the family: This family represents the microRNAs (miRNA) let-7 and mir-98. let-7 was identified from a study of developmental timing in C. elegans, and was later shown to be part of a much larger class of non-coding RNAs termed miRNAs. The extents of the hairpin precursors are not generally known and are estimated based on hairpin prediction.
Source: Rfam by way of RNAcentral
ACAGUGUGAGGUAGUAGAUUGUAUAGUUGGAGGGUAGUGAUUUUGCCCUGUUUUGGAGAUAACUAUACAAUCUAUUGCCUUCCCUGA